RNAcentral lists this unclassified non-coding RNA (186 nucleotides) under Glomus sp. RNAcentral describes it as "partial internal transcribed spacer 2". The record is from RNAcentral. Lineage: Eukaryota; Fungi; Glomeromycota; Glomeromycetes; Glomerales; Glomeraceae.
GUGAAUCAUCAAAUUUUUGAACGCAAAUUGCACUCUCUGCUGAGAGGAGGGCUGUUUGAGGUUCAGCCUAAAUAAAAUCGACAUAGUUGCUGUGACGCUGUAACAUUCGUCUGAAAGGGGGUCAUCUUAAACCUUUGGGGUGAAGCGUCUUAAAAUUUUCUUUACGAUUCCAAGAACGUUUCUAAG